Long non-coding RNA from Ailuropoda melanoleuca (giant panda), 8636 nucleotides. RefSeq lists it as uncharacterized. The record is from RefSeq and is a predicted model, not a curated record. NCBI's taxonomy places the organism in Eukaryota, Metazoa, Chordata, Mammalia, Carnivora, Ursidae. The transcript has 5 exons.
CGGCCACCAGAAACGGGGGCAGUGUCUGUUACGGAGCACGGGCAGGGGCGGCUGUGGCCGCUGGCACACGGGAGCCCCAGACGCGGACCCCACUGGCUGUUGGCGGUGAUGGCGCUGCUGCAUUCGCACGUCAGUGAGAGUGGCAAUCCCACGAACAAAGAAGUGGCAUGAACUGAGCAGCACUUGUCCAACGUUGCUGUUCUGGAAACUCUCCGGGUAGGACUGUUGAAACAUGGAUUCAGGGGGUCUGGGGUGGUCCUGACGAAUUUCUGCUUCUACCAGGUUUGCAGGAUCAGCACUGUCAUUUCUUUACGGCUGUGGGUUCCAGCCGACCUCUGCUCCGAGACUUCCACCCCCCCAGCACCCACGACUCCUUGAACACGUGCCCCGUGUCAUGUGCGCUAUGACAGACUCUCAGGUCAUUACCCUGUUUCGUUCAGGACCAGGAGCUAAGGCAGCGUGGGACGGACCCCUGCCGCGUCCCCGGUAGCGCCACGCUGAGCACCAGGCCCCCUGCGUGAGCGCUCACUACUAGAUACACGAGGCCUCGGUUUCUUUCAUGGGACCAGCAUAAAGUAACUUCGAAGCAACCACUGGCUUUGACAUGCACUAAGGAGAACGGCCGAAUGAACCCCAAGACCGUAGCGUGCACCCUAACUUCAGAUGUUCUCGCCGGCACCCUCCCGGGGCCCGAACAGGUGUUUCUUAUGCUUACAGGCCCGAAUGAAAAGGGACAACGUGAGUAAGUACAACAUUUUCAUAGGCACGUACAUGCAUUUGUGUUUGCAGAUAAUGAACGAUUUGCUGUGGGCACAGAGGAUUAAUGGAAUGCGAUUCCUAAACCUGGGGUCCUGUUCUAGCAUCUUGUCGUGGUAUUUAAGGAAAUACAGAGAUAAGUUGUGGUCAAACUCACAUGGUUCUAUACCGAACGCCUCUUCUCGAAUAAUAUGUUCUGCAUCCGAUGUAAAGAAGCGACAGAACGCCCAGUGUUAACACAAUACCGCCAAGAAAGCUGCCAGUAUCAAAUUUUGGUCCUGGAUUUCCCUUAGAGUUAAUAGUGGGUGUGACUAGAAGAAAACGAAAACGAGGCUUCAGUUGCUUUUACACAACCUUCCUAUAAUGAGCCGCCACUCCGACUUUCUACCUGAGAAAGCCUGCUUUGUGCUGGGUGACGGCUGGGCUCUGGGUCCCUGCAGCCGAUCCAGCACCUCUCCCCCCGCACCUGCCACCCCAGCAUCUAAGGGUCUUUGUGCUGCUGGACCCCGACCCUCAACCACAGCCCCCGAUGUGGGGAAAUGUGUUUCCUUAUUGGUCCUCGUAAGUGUUCACGCCUUAACCACAGGUCCGGGCAUGCCGGCAGUGGUCCUGCGGCUGGAUCCUGUCCAAAUGGUUCUAACUGAAAUUUCUCCUUUGGAAUAAAUUGGGGGACUUAAACUAUUUUGGCUUUAUCACAUUGAAAGCCCUGGAGACAUUAUAGUUGAUUUUGGAACAUAAACUGUAGUAAGACUGGAGUGGAAACCAGAAUGCUGCCUGUGCUGAUAAAUGUAGCCACGAGCUUGUACGUGCAGCUGACCUCUGCAUACGUGACAAGGUCAGUGCUGGCUGACAGCAGUGCUUGCCGGAGACCACAUGAUGAGCUCAGUGGCAGAAAUGAACCACGGUUAACCGCGAUUGGGGUUUAGAAACCCAGGGGCUGAUGCUGCCUAGUUCUGCCCCAGUAACGAGGGAGCUGGUCUAGGCAGGACACUUUUUCAAACCACGGAAGGUACAGUUCCCUGCUAGGACACGGCCCUGCUGUCAUCCUGUGGCUGAUGUAUGCAACAGGACACCCCGUCCGCAUUUCUGCUUUUGCAGAACGGCACGAUGAUGGCACGUGACCCCUACGUUCAGCACAGAAACAGGGUAGCUUUGAUACCUACUCGUUACAGAUGAAGAAACAGAUGUGGCCGAACUGUUGUGGGCUGUGGUGGUGGCUGUGGCUGGCGUCAUCUGGGUCGUGUUCUGUGAAACUGAGCUGGUGUUAGUCCUGUUUGCAGAGCCUCCGGGUGCUGUGGUUGUAGCUGUUGUGGAUGUCAAGGCCGUGACAGUCUCUGUCUUGGAGACAGAAGACACUGGAGUUGUCGACUGCCUCACGGUGCUGGCGGGCUGGCUCGUGUGGUUGGAGGUCACAGCGGUGACAUUCUCUGCAGGAGGAUCGAGAAACGUUAGCACUGGGGCCAAGGCUCAGGUCAUCGACCCGGUCGCAGUGGGCUCCGUGGUCAGACACAAAAGCAAGAAGACGCUGAGCCCGCCAAUACCAGCGCUUUACAGCAACCCAGUAUCUCAGAUGGUGAACGACCCUGCGGGAUCCCAGGCUGCGUUUCCACCAAGUUAGGAACUAGUGGAAGGUAGGAAAUAACCCAGAGGACUGUGUUCCUUCAGGACGAGGACUGUGUCCGAACCAUCUCUGUCGGAACCUCGUACUGCCGUCUUGCCACAAGUAUUGUGGACGGACGGACGGACGGGUGGAAAGAGGAAGGAAGGGUUUGUCAAGGAGCGGUUUCUGUGUCACCUCCUUCCCAGGAGCAUCAGGACCAACGAGCACGAGCUGUGUGUUAACCCCCACGCGGGACAGGAGCAGAGUGCGUCUCUGGGAAGGUCAAGGUGACUUCCUGCGUGCGCUGGGACAUCACCUGCUGGCACCCAGCGUGGCUUCUUGGAAAUCAUCUCCCUCAGCCUGUCUCUGAAGGCUUCAUAACGGCCAGCACCUGGGCCAGCUCCUCGGGUCAUACCUCACGUGGAGGUCGUCAUGAAAAGUCAGCUUCAAUCGCCACGUGAUUCCACGAACAUCAGCACCAUACUACGUGUCGGGCACUGAGAUACGGUCAUUAGUACACCUCCCAGACCGAUCGGGUGGAGAGCUGGACCAGUGGCGACAAAUCAGCCUCUCACGGUGAGCCCUACAAAUGAGGGAGCAAAGUGCUGUCCCGUUAAAGCUGAAUUCAGUUAAAUUCAGCACUUGAGUCAACACAUUUUGCCUGAUUAUAGAGCAAACGUGUGUUUACUGGUUGCCUGUGUAUAAGACAUGCUAAUUAUCACGAGUGACAUGAAGAAAACCCAGUCUAAGGGCAUCUCCGCCUGGUACGGACUCAGGCGUGUAUUGUUAUUCACAUACAGCGCACGUGACGGGGUGUGCCACAGAGAGCAGCCGCAGCGAGAGCAGAAACAGCGCCGGCGUGAACGGAGGAAGAGCGCAGAGGAGCAGCUUCCAUGCAGGUCUGGGUUGGGAAGGACAGGAGGUGGCUGUCCUGCGGGAGGGAGCCGUGCACGAGGACACAUGUGCGCAGGGGUGCAGCGGGGAGCGUGAGGCGCGCACCGAUUCGCUGAGCCUUUACUGAAAGGUAACGCGUGCCAGGUGCGUACCAGACGCGGCAGAGAACACGGUACCCCAGCGUCCCCAGCUCUCACGGGUUCUGCUUGGAGCGGGAGUGAGGUGCCGAGACCAUGAGUGGGACACCCAUGGAUGGGAAAGGGGGACAGGACAGGCGGCUGGGGGCCAGACCUGCUCCCCUUGAUGGAGGGCGGUUGUGCUAAGAGCGGCAUUUAGGCUGAGCUGGGGCAGGCGGGGGCCCAGGGGCACAGUGGGGCCCAUGUCACCACGUCAGGCGCUGGGGCAGUGGCCCAGAGGUGCUAAUUCUUUGUGGGGCCCUGGCGCCCCUGCCACCCCGUGAGCGCUCUCGUGAUCUGCUACCCGCUGGUCAGAGACCACACACAAACUCUGGCUUGCAGGCCAGUCGGCCACCACCUGUUCAGAAGAGAAGUGUUCCUGGAACGCGGCCCCUGACCUGUUCACGACCCGUGUGCGGCAGCCGUCCCGCGGGGACACAGCUGAGUGUAGCGCAGACCACGCGGCCCCGGACGCCCACAGUGGCUACUCCGGCCCUUCACGCGAGAAGGGGUCUAGCUCCUCAUACAGGUUGUCGGUCAGUUAAGUGUUAACAGCGAGUAAGACUCACAGAGGAAUUUGUGGUUUCGCAUCGUAAAGCAUUACUGCGGUGAUUUUGUUAGAAAACACUGGUCUUGGCCGUCGUGCUUGUUCUCAGGCAAGUACCGGCAGCGCGUGGCUUCAGGGCAUCACGGUAUCCCUCCCCCCGGACGCUGCGUGCCAAGUGUACUGGUGGGGCUCCGGCGUGGGGACGCCUUGCGUGGCCAUGGUCAUCUCCCUGAUGUCUGUGGGUAAGCGCUCUGGGGAAGCCGUGGCCGGUGCCGACAGCACACGGCACGGGACUGCUGUGACCAAGCCGCUCCCAAAGCAGGACGCACCAACCACACGGGGUCACUGGGCUUAAGACAGCUUAUCUGUCGCCAUGCACUGGGGCGGGACCACAGUCAGUGUCCGACCCCGUCCAGCCCGCCCUCUGCCCUGACGGGACCCUCAGGAGCUGCGCUAGGCUCGCUCGCUCUGCGGCUUCUGGUUUGGCCAGAGGGAAAGAAAACCCCAUUUGCUGAUGCUCUGCAGUCUUCCUUUACUGUGUGGGGACGGACCUGACUGGAAGGAGCCCUAGAGCUGUCUGCCCUGCUCGUACGUGUGGGAUCAACGCUCAGCCCGUAUUGAUUCUGAGCCGGACGCUGUUCUCAAUAUUCCACAAACGCUAGCGACUGUCCUCAUUCCCCUGGCAGGCAGACGCCCGCUCAUCCUGUUUUACAGAUGUAAACCGAGGCACGCGGGCUCAGAAACGUGAGCACGAAGCAGUCCGAGGAGCCAGUCUGACUUCAGCGUCUGCUCUCUGUCCCUGCCUUUGGCCGACAGCUGUGCGAGUAGAGUCGCCAAGUUGAAAAGCUUUGGUCGGGGCCAGUGGCUGUCGCGGCCUCGCGGUGGCCUUCAGCAGUCGCUAAGAAAAUGCUGGUGAACAGACUCUACCCAGAACAAAGAGCACUCUCAGAAUCCCUCCGAGUUUCAGCAGACCUCAGCGGGGCACGUAGCAAACACUCCCGACGUUCCGUGCUCUACAAACCGACAGCCAGCACACCCCACGCGUGUCUCCAUGGAAACACCAAGCAGAGCUGCUCACGCCCCCACGGAUCGGUUCCUUGUUGCGGCUCGGCUAACAUGUUUGGAAAGCGGCUCUGAAAUAACGUCAUUGGAGCGAUUAUUUGCAGCCCCAGAAGGCUGUGCCGUGGAGCUUUUGCUCAAUUACAGGAGAUUUAUGCUCUAACCACGGAGCACGAGCUCGUGUGACCUGCAGCUGCCACGAGAGAGUGUAGUCGUGAACGAGCUCAAAGUGCUGCCACAAAGACACGCAGCACAAAAGCCAUCUGCUCCGGUCGGCGCAAGGGAAAAAGCAGAGACGACAGCCGUGCAGUCCGCAAGCCGUCAGGAAGUCAUCUCAGUUCCCUGGAUAAAGGGAUCAGGAAAUACUCAAUACAAACAUGUUUUCUUGCGAGACUAAAGAGAAACGUCCACUUUGCAGUUACCAAAAACACUUAUUUGUUCAAGUGGCAGAAACGGCGUCGGGACCCACGAGGUAGUUGGCGGUGGGAGCAGGGAGAAGGUGCUGAGGUUUGCUGCGUGCUGGUCACGGUACGCAGGUGCUUGCACGGUUUUAGUUUUUAGAAAAUGUCACGGGGCCUGUAUAAGAGCACUGAAAAGGGGGUUUGUUCCCUGCAGUUCACAGGGGGGAAGGCGGACUCCAAGGUUCAGGUCUGCCCCAUGUGGCAGCAGGAGGAGCUGAGCAAACCGCCACGGGGCUGUGGACAUUUCCGCUGGGGAGGCUCCCCUGCGUUCCCUUCAGCUGUCCCGCCGCCGACCGCCAUCACCGCACUAAAAUCGCUACCUGCAAACACACGUUUGUACCAAAGACUCCACAGGGACGGUAAAGUAAGCGCAUUGCAGAUUUCUAAAAACUUAACGAAAGCCUCUUUUUAAGCAAAAAAAAAUUGAAAAAAAGCUAACUAAAACUGAAGACCCACAAGAAGAUACAGAGAACCACAUGACCAUCCGUGUUCUCACAGUCCUGAUUCGUAGAAACCUGCUGAGGAGCGCCAUCCACGGUGCAGUCCGCGGAGAGACCACCAUCCUGAGUUUAUCCUGGGCUCGUGUUAUUCCUUCACACGAUUUCUAAGCCACGUAAUACGGUUUGCCACGCGCUGAAGUUUUAUACAAGUGGCUUCACGCCAGAAGUAUUGUGUUCUCACUUCUGCUGCUCAACGCUAUGUUGACUGAUUCCAUUCACGUUGAGUCCACUCCACCGCUCACGUGUUUAACUUCGGCUGCAGUUCGGUCUCACGAUGCUGCUUGUGUGUGACGAACUCCAGUCCGCCCAGAACAAGGCUCAAGGGCAAAGUGUGUUUGCACACGUGCCAGCUCUUGUGUGUUGAGGUCUAUCCCGUGGGCCUUCCCAUGCAACCAACCCCACGACGGACCCAACAUCCCACGUCCGAGAGUCUGGCCACCCGGCGCAAGCUGGUAAAGCUGCACGCACGCGUGUGUGUGUGUGUUCACUGCAGACUAGUUACAAGAAGAUACGCGCCAAUGGGGGUGGGGCUGAGAAGGCCGUGGGACGUCCAUUCCACGGAACCUAACAAAGGUGGCUAUGAAGGACACGGGGCUGCAUACACGGCGACGGGUUCACGUGCCCCCAGCUCCUUCGAUGGGCCUCCCCGCACGGUGAAGCCUGACUGCGCUUCCCUUGUGUGGACACCUGACUUAGAGACCUCCUUCAAGCGCACAUAGGGCAGCACAGGUGACGCUAUGCAACUGCUCAGGCUGGAUGUCAAGGAGGAGAGCUUCUGCCGGGCUCUCCAGGAUUUAGGGAUCGCUGGGACCACUCAGUCUGGGGGAAGCAUGCCCCCAGGUCGUGAAGACGCUCAAGCAACACCAGGACUAGAGGAACGGAGUCCUGCCAGCUGCUGGCCUGAGGCACUGCAGUGAGUCACCUGAGAAGGGAGUCCCUGAGCCCCGCUCACGCCCUCCUGAUUGCUGCCUCCAGUCCCGCGCCAGAGAAGCACCGGGCCAAGCUCCUGCCCCGUGCCCGAACCAGAGGAACCUGGAGAGGACCCAGAGUUCCAGGCUCUGUCCGCAGCCAACAACCAGGACUGCACAAAAUAGCAUUCUGCACUCGAGUCCCGAAAGCAGGUGCAGGACACCGUGCAUACACCCUUCCGGGUUUUUCGCACCGGCAAUAUUCCUGGGGAAUUACCGGGAAAGGAAGGGAGGGACGAGAUCCGUCUUUAGUUGUAUGUGCUUCCAGGCUGCCCAAGAUAUUACGCGUACCCAUUAUUAACUUGUACAGUUUUUUCAAAGCUCAUGAUGACAAAAUAAAAAUAAAGAAUCAAUUGAGAUUUAAAAAGCCUCUCAGCCCCUAUUAGGGAAGAAAAUUGCUGUAAUUUUAGACACACUGCUAACAAGUUCUAUUAUGUGCUUUUCUCGCUGACUGCUGAUUCCGAGCAGCAAAUGGGGAAAGGCGGGGCCCGGAGAGGGUGGCCCAAUGCCAACGCAAGACCCAGAGUGGAGGCCGGCAGAACAAAGCUGAGGCGCCACGCGAGCGUCCGAACAAAGACGGCUGGUGCUCGCAGCCCCUGAGGACAGAACCGUCUCCCAGGACUGGGGAGAUGAAUGCACUGCAUAUAAGCCAGUUAAGGUUUACUGACUACUCCAUACUGUGUCAUUUUACCCCACAAUAAGCCUUGGGGCCUAUGCAGGGGUUUUUACUACAGAUUUGGAAACAAACCCGGGGCACAGAAGACUCCCGUGCUCAGAGUUCGACUCGGUCAUGGUAUCACACCCCCCAUGGCGUGCUUGCAAGCUCGCCUCUCAGACACACGGGUCUCUGGCAAAUGAGGAGGAGGGAGAAAUCGUGUUUGCUAAUGUGCACAGUGGGGAUGAAGUCAGGCGUGUCUGCAUCGGUUUGUCUUCUGGGAGGGAGCCUGUGUCUCGCAGGGUACGUGGUCGUCCCCAGAGCAUGUGGGGGCAGCUGGGGCAGGACAGGAACGCAGGGUUCCCGGGAUGGCACAGCUCUGCCUCCUCCUCUCACGUGGCUGCUGUGCGGCGUCCGGGAAAGGGGGGGGGCAGUGCAAGUCCCAGGCCCGGCCUAAGCACCUGUUCACCCGUGGUCGCCGUGGUCACGGCCCCUCCCCACCAUCUCACCAGGGGACAUGCACCCCCUCCCCAGCACAGUCUCCAAGGAUGUGUGUGUCCUCCCUCACCCCGUCUGUGAGCAAAGCGUCCAGGGGCGGCUUCCUUCGCGGCUCUCCUGCUCCGCGCGCCCCCACGGCCUCUGCACAUGGCAUGUUCAUCGUCAUCAGAGCUGCCUUUUCAGUGGGAUUCGGCACCCUACGAGCAGUGUCUGGGCCCUGUGAUGCCCGCAGCUCCCACCGUACGUGGCACCGAGCCCAGCACAUAUCAGGAUCCACACGGACAUGUGCAGAGAGGACAGAGCGAGGGGACAGCAGGCGUGGGGGCCGAACCACCAGGUGCUGUGUCGGAGCCCAGGCGGGUUCCUGCACGCUGGCGAGAGCUCGCACCCUCCGCUCCUGACCGCGGCGCCUGCGCCACCAGAGCCAACACUCGCUCACAUGGCGCCUCCGACGUGCACACUCUCACGUCACUUGCACAACAUCCCUGUCAGGUAGGUGCUCCCGACAGGGAGACUGAGGCA